GACGAACGCUGGCGGCGUGCCUAAUACAUGCAAGUCGAGCGGAAGAUUCGAAAGCUUGCUUUUGAAUCGUUAGCGGCGGACGGGUGAGUAACACGUGGGCAACCUGCCCUGUAGACGGGGAUAACACCGAGAAAUCGGUGCUAAUACCGGAUAACACGAAAUGUCGCAUGACGUUUCGUUGAAAGGCGGCGCAAGCUGCCGCUACAGGAUGGGCCCGCGGCGCAUUAGCUAGUUGGUGAGGGAACGGCUCACCAAGGCGACGAUGCGUAGCCGACCUGAGAGGGAGAUCGGCCACACUGGGAGUGAGACACGGCCCAGACUCCUACGGGAGGCAGCAGUAGGGAAUCUUCCGCAAUGGACGAAAGUCUGACGGAGCAACGCCGCGUGAGCGAAGAAGGCCUUCGGGUCGUAAAGCUCUGUUGUUAGGGAAGAACAAGUACCGUAGUAACUGGCGUUACUAUGACGGUACCUAACGAGAAAGCCACGGCUAACUACGUG
This 498-nucleotide ribosomal RNA is filed under the name uncultured bacterium. RNAcentral describes it as "partial 16S ribosomal RNA". It matches the Rfam family "Bacterial small subunit ribosomal RNA", at positions 28 to 507 of the family's 1533-position model. The record is from RNAcentral.